Molecule: ribosomal RNA, 553 nt
Filed under: Jeotgalicoccus huakuii
Lineage: Bacteria; Bacillati; Bacillota; Bacilli; Caryophanales; Staphylococcaceae
Description: bacterial SSU rRNA
Rfam family: Bacterial small subunit ribosomal RNA
Source: RNAcentral
AGUCGAGCGCGAGCGUAAGGAGCUUGCUCCUUACAAUCGAGCGGCGGACGGGUGAGUAACACGUGGGCAACCUACCCUUUAGACUGGGAUAACUACCGGAAACGGUAGCUAAUACCGGAUAAGUUGGAUUACACAAGUAAUCUUAAUGAAAGGCGGAUUUAUCUGUCACUAAAGGAUGGGCCUGCGGUGCAUUAGCUAGUUGGUGAGGUAGUGGCUCACCAAGGCAACGAUGCAUAGCCGACCUGAGAGGGUGAUCGGCCACACUGGGACUGAGACACGGCCCAGACUCCUACGGGAGGCAGCAGUAGGGAAUCUUCCGCAAUGGACGCAAGUCUGACGGAGCAACGCCGCGUGAGUGAAGAAGGGUUUCGGCUCGUAAAACUCUGUUGUUAAGGAAGAACACUUUAGGUAGUAACUGGCCUAGAGAUGACGGUACUUAACCAGAAAGCCACGGCUAACUACGUGCCAGCAGCCGCGGUAAUACGUAGGUGGCAAGCGUUAUCCGGAAUUAUUGGGCGUAAAGCGCGCGUAGGCGGUAGAAUAAGUCUGAUGU